UAAUACGUAGGGUGCAAGCGUUGUUCGGAAUCAUUGGGCGUAAAGCGUGUGUAGGUGGCUUGCUAAGUUGAUUGUGAAAUCCCUGGGCUCAACCGAGGAAGUGCAGUCAAAACUAGCAGGCUAGAGGAUGGCAGAGGAAGGUGGAAUUCCAAGUGUAGAGGUGAAAUUCGUAGAUAUUUGGAGGAAUACCGGCGGCGAAGGCGGCCUUCUGGACCAUUCCUGACACUGAGACACGAAAGCGUGGGUAGCAAACAGGAUUAGAUACCCUGGUAGUCCACGCCGUAAACGAUGGGUACUAGAUGUUGUAGGAAUUGACCCCUGCAGUGUCGACGCUAACGCAUUAAGUACCCCGCCUGGGAAGUACGGUCGCAAGAUUA
RNAcentral lists this ribosomal RNA (377 nucleotides) under uncultured bacterium. RNAcentral describes it as "bacterial SSU rRNA". It matches the Rfam family "Bacterial small subunit ribosomal RNA", at positions 521 to 896 of the family's 1533-position model. The record is from RNAcentral.